CGGAGUAGCUCAGUCGGUAGAGCAGUUCACUCGUAAUGAAAAGGUCGGGGGUUCGAUUCCUCUCUCCGG
RNAcentral lists this transfer RNA (69 nucleotides) under marine eukaryotic metagenome. It matches the Rfam family "tRNA". Rfam says of the family: Transfer RNA (tRNA) molecules are approximately 80 nucleotides in length. Their secondary structure includes four short double-helical elements and three loops (D, anti-codon, and T loops). The record is from RNAcentral.